Molecule: long non-coding RNA, 1991 nt
Organism: Serinus canaria (Common canary)
Lineage: Eukaryota; Metazoa; Chordata; Aves; Passeriformes; Fringillidae
Source: Ensembl
CAUCUGAAUCACGUUGUCCUCUGUCUGUGUGGCAGAUAUAAAUAGGUUGCAGCAGAGGUGGGCUGUGUCCGUGAGCACUUCUCUCCUCAGGAGAUGGUCUUAUCUACAAGCACACAGAGUAGAGAAGCCUCAGUCUUCUCGAGCAAACUUCCAAGAAAUUCCCCUUGUGAUGAGGAGUUAUCCUGCUGAUCCUGUGCUUUGGAAUCACCCUCUGACCCCUCAUCUCAGAGGCUUUACUGCUGGCAGGCACAAAGCCACAGGGCUCUCCACCCAUUCGACCCACACGGGGCUGGACAGCUGAGGAACCAGCAAAACUGCACCAGCUCAAAUUUGCUUUCAGUUUAUUGCCUGGGUAGUGUCACUAUAAAGGUCUGAGCUAAUCUUAGCUGCAUAAUGGGCUGGUAGAAAGUAUUCUAUUUGUUAUGCAAAUAAAUAUUUACUUCAAAUGUGGUUUCCCAAAGUAUGGUCACCUUGCACGCAUCUGCUUCCAAAAAUGCAUCUGCUUUACAACAAGGUAGUAAUUAUCCUUUCCUCAAGGGGGUUCAGUUUGAACCUACUAUGUGUACUAGACUGCUGGCAAAGUUUUUAAUUUUGGUUUAUGAUGUUUGUAGUUUUUGGAGGCACAGGAUCAAACGCUUGAAAUGCAAUAUUCAUCUGAUACUACAUACCAACCCCAAAUACAGAUUUCAGCGACAUGUGCAGCAGUAUCCUGGCAGUCUUGACUGAAAGAAUGAUCCUGUGUGUUUUAGCUGGAUCUCCUUUGCUACAAUCCAUAACAGAUGCCAUUGGUGUUUUUGUUACUAUCGCUACUUGAUGGCUUUCUCCAACCGCACUUCACAUUCCUGGAGCUGAAAGAUUUGUUCUCUUAGCCACCAAGAAACACUACACUCUUAUUUUGGAGUCUCCCUGCAUUCCAAGAUAGCACUGGCAACAGGGGACACGCAAGGGUCAACAGCUCCUCAUCCAGCAGCACAACCUCAUUCAUUGCAGCAAAGAGGUUUUCAGAGUUUGGGAAUGCCCUGAAGAGUUUUACCUUCUGUGUCCCAAAAUGGAUGUCAUUUGCUCUUUGUUCCUAGGCAACCCAGGGAGACACAGACAGCUGUUGUCAAAUAUUCUGCAACCAAAUUGUCCCUUCUUGGCACUGAAAAAUCUCACUGAGCUCACUGGGGGUCUUGAAUUCAUACUGGGCAUCUUUGAUUGGUUUGUUGAUUGGUAAUGGCAUCUUUGUGCCAUUGCUAGACUAAGGAAAAGCUGGCAGCAGCUUAAAGUGUGGUGUGUAAUGGCAUUUGCAAAAAAUUGUUCCUAAAACACCUUACCUCCUGUAGCAACUGUGAAAAUGAAGGUGAGAAUUUUUAGCCAUAUACACCUUCAGCUGAGUGAAAUUCUGCCCUGGAUUUUGUUUCUGUUAACCUGGUAAAUGAGAUGCACAGUUGUAAAUUAGGUCUGUACUGGGCCAUGGAUAAUAUAAACAAUACUGAGAUUAAAGUGUAAAAAGGAGAGAGCAAGGUGUUUUGGCAAGAUAUUUUCAACUCCUGCAACAUUUUUAUACUAGUACAUCUGAGAUGUGAGGUGUGAAUAGCUGACAUACCCUUGGUCUGAGGAGUUGUCACCAGCUUUCAGGCUUUUUUUUUCUCACAAGUGUCAAACUUUUGCAAAUAACCUAGGCAGCUCCUUUUCAGUCACAGCAUAUAACCCUGGUCAUAUCAGAUGGAAUGACCAUGACACAGUGACAUUUCUAUUUACCCAUUUCCACUACUAGAAAUUAAAGAUCACAUUUCCAAGUUACCUCUGACAAUAUUGUGUUAUUGCUUCCCUGCAAAGAAACGAGACAGAUAAUUUUUCUGUUCCUUUCCAGACCUGCCACUCUAUUUUAAUUUUUUUUACCAACAAAUUUUUCAUUUCCUGUUAAUUUUUAGUCUAAGAUAAAUAGUUUACUCCAGGAGAAGCAGUCUGGCAGUGAUUGUACACACCUAACAGUUUGUUGAAUAAAG